AGUUGCAUCAUACACCAUUUUGCCAAGGACCCAUGGAAGAAAGAACAGAUGCCACUUCCAAGCAAAAUAAAAACCGCUCGCCAUAGGCAGCGUGUUAAUUCUGACCCUGCAGCAAGAGCGAAGUACCUUGCUCGGAGAAGAGAAAGCUACCAGAGGAGAAAACAGCAGGGAAGAUUCAAUAUGCUAAGUCAAGUGAGCUGACAGAGAGAGAGAAAAAGAAACAGAGAGAGAAAUGGAGAGCUUCCUCAAGUGCGUAGAGGGAAAGGAAAAAUAUGGCAAAUGCUUUGCUAGAAAUUACGCCGCCAUCAAUGGAGAACAUUCCACAAGAUCUGGUUGAUGUGAUUGUAACCU
Pleuronectes platessa (European plaice) is the source of this 351-nucleotide long non-coding RNA. RefSeq lists it as uncharacterized. The record is from RefSeq and is a predicted model, not a curated record. The transcript is spliced from 3 exons. NCBI's taxonomy places the organism in Eukaryota, Metazoa, Chordata, Actinopteri, Pleuronectiformes, Pleuronectidae.